AUGAACGCUGGCGGCGUGUCUAAGGCAUGCAAGUCGAGCGAUCCUUCUGUGAUUACAUCAAGGAAGGGUAGCGGCAAACGGGUGCGUAACACCUUGAUAACCUACCUCGAGGCCGUGAAUAACCCCGCGAAAGCGGGAUUAAUACACGAUGGACAAAGGGGGCCAUAAGGCAUUCCUUUGUAAAGUUCCGACGCCUCGAGAGGGGUCUAGGCUCUAUCAGCUAGUUGGUGAGGUAAUGGCUCACCAAGGCUAUGACGGAUAGGGGGCGUGAGAGCGCGACCCCCCUCACUGGGACUGAGACACUGCCCAGACACCUACGGGUGGCUGCAGUCAAGAAUAUUCCUCAAUGCACGAAAGUGUGAAGGAGCGACGCCGCGUGCCGGAUGAAGGCCUUUGGGUCGUAAACGGCUUUUAUAGGGGACGAACAAAUGACGGUACCCUACGAAUAAGUGGUUGCUAACUCUGU
RNAcentral lists this ribosomal RNA (466 nucleotides) under uncultured bacterium. RNAcentral's name for it is "bacterial SSU rRNA". It matches the Rfam family "Bacterial small subunit ribosomal RNA", at positions 29 to 506 of the family's 1533-position model. The record is from RNAcentral.